Long non-coding RNA from Lolium perenne, 1066 nucleotides. RefSeq lists it as uncharacterized. NCBI's taxonomy places the organism in Eukaryota, Viridiplantae, Streptophyta, Magnoliopsida, Poales, Poaceae. The record is from RefSeq and is a predicted model, not a curated record.
GGGCAAUUUGUUUUUCUAAAUUGUAGCAGAGACAAGAGCAGUCCACGGCCCACGGCCCACGCACACCUGACGGCCGACAGGUCCGAGAUUAGCUCGCCGACCUCACUCCAUGUCGUCCUCACUCCAUGUCUCAUCGCACUCACAGUACUCGCUGGCUCUCCGUCCCUCCCGACGCCCCCCACCCACCGCCGUCGACCGGACCCCCGCUGUCCUGCCUCGCCGCCGAUGGCCUAGACGACAACCUCCUCCGUCCUCUUCGUCCAGGCGACCGGAAGCCAACGGAAGGCCAGGGCACCCAGCGGGAGGGGCAAAAGGAGGUGGAUGGGCGGUCCCCGUCUCCACUGGAUCCGCAGACGCGGCCACCCGCCUUCUCCAUUGCCGAUUCCGUGCCACAUCGCCACCCUGCACGCGAGACCGCCGCGCUUCCCUGUCCGCCACCGCCUGUGCCGCGCGAGCUCGCCCCCGAUUAGGUCGCUGCACGCCGCCUGUGUCGCGCGAGCCCGCCCCCGUUAGGUCGGCAUCCACCACUGGAGCAUUCCUGCUGCCGCAGCCGCGCGAUCCCGGCUUCCACGGGAGGGAUACAUCCUCAACACCGGAGAAGCGAGGCCACGCCCUCAACUCUUGGGAAUCGCCGGAGAAUAGUUGGGGAAUCGAGGCUGCUCUCCACGCCGCCGACACCCUGCCUCCACAUCGACCGGCCCCCUCCUCGAAGCCCUGCCUCCAUGCCUUGUCCCGUCUGCAAUUGCGUUGCGCCCUCCAUCAGAGAAUAAGAUGUCCUGAAGCCCAGGAUAUUUUCGUCUUCCUCGCACGUGUGCCCAGGAACUAAAUUAGAGACUUGGGGUUUUAAUGGUGUUGAUGUCAUAAGGAAAAGUAAACAACAGGUGCGCUCAAGAUUGAACUGUCAAGAUCAGAGUAUGAUGCUUCCUCUCUGACUUUCGGUGUUGGCUUCAACCAAAAUUCCUAUUCAGAAGUAGGCAUGAAAAUCUCUUUUGAAGUACGAAUAGGACAAAAUCUCUCUCAGAAUGCAAUCGGACCGGAUAGUUGGUGACGAUUACGCCAAGCUUCU